UGGGGAAUAUUGGACAAUGGGCGCAAGCCUGAUCCAGCCAUGCCGCGUGAGUGAUGAAGGCCUUAGGGUUGUAAAGCUCUUUUGUCCGGGAAGAUAAUGACUGUACCGGAAGAAUAAGCCCCGGCUAACUUCGUGCCAGCAGCCGCGGUAAUACGAAGGGGGCUAGCGUUGUUCGGAAUCACUGGGCGUAAAGCGCACGUAGGCGGACCGUUAAGUCGGAGGUGAAAGCCUGGGGCUCAACCCCAGAACUGCCUUCGAUACUGGCGGUCUUGAGUAUGGUAGAGGUUGGUGGAACUCCGAGUGUAGAGGUGAAAUUCGUAGAUAUUCGGAAGAACACCAGUGGCGAAGGCGGCCAACUGGACCAUUACUGACGCUGAGGUGCGAAAGCGUGGGGAGCAAACAGG
This 404-nucleotide ribosomal RNA is filed under the name uncultured Hyphomicrobiales bacterium. RNAcentral's name for it is "bacterial SSU rRNA". It matches the Rfam family "Bacterial small subunit ribosomal RNA", at positions 355 to 776 of the family's 1533-position model. The record is from RNAcentral. Lineage: Bacteria; Pseudomonadati; Pseudomonadota; Alphaproteobacteria; Hyphomicrobiales.